This 254-nucleotide ribosomal RNA is filed under the name uncultured bacterium. RNAcentral describes it as "partial 16S ribosomal RNA". It matches the Rfam family "Bacterial small subunit ribosomal RNA", at positions 524 to 776 of the family's 1533-position model. The record is from RNAcentral.
CACGUAGGGUGCGAGCGUUGUCCGGAAUUAUUGGGCGUAAAGAGCUCGUAGGCGGUGUGUCGCGUCGGCCGUGAAAACCUGCAGCUUAACUGUGGGCUUGCGGUCGAUACGGGCAUCACUGGAGUUCGGCAGGGGAGACUGGAAUUCCUGGUGUAGCGGUGAAAUGCGCAGAUAUCAGGAGGAACACCGGUGGCGAAGGCGGGUCUCUGGGCCGAUACUGACGCUGAGGAGCGAAAGCUAGGGGAGCGAACGGG